Molecule: ribosomal RNA, 301 nt
Filed under: uncultured bacterium
Lineage: Bacteria
Description: partial 16S ribosomal RNA
Rfam family: Bacterial small subunit ribosomal RNA
Source: RNAcentral
CAGCCGCCACGGUAAUACGUAGGGUGCGAGCGUUAAUCGGAAUUACUGGGCGUAAAGCGUGCGCAGGCGGUUUUGUAAGACAGAGGUGAAAUCCCCGGGCUCAACCUGGGAACUGCCUUUGUGACUGCAAGGCUAGAGUACGGCAGAGGGGGAUGGAAUUCCGCGUGUAGCAGUGAAAUGCGUAGAUAUGCGGAGGAACACCGAUGGCGAAGGCAAUCCCCUGGGCCUGUACUGACGCUCAUGCACGAAAGCGUGGGGAGCAAACAGGAUUAGAUACCCGAGUAGUCCCUGUCUCUUAUAC